AAGGAGAGGCUCCUGAAGAAGUACAGACUCUGUGGCCGCAGCAGGACGUUUCAGAAUGUUUCUCCGUCAACUCAAUAUGUCUUCGAUCUGAGAGUCUCUGAUCAGUUGGACAGAUGGAUGAACUGCUCUAACCAAGAUAUGAGUGGCCAGCAUAUUCUUUCAAAACACUCCCUAAAAACAAGGAAUACUUCCUAAACUGUCCGGCUUACUCUCUGAGAGGGAUGAGGCACAACAUUCAGCUAUGCCAGAAACUUUAGUUGUGAUAACUAAAAGGUGGGAAAUUUGUCGUGAAUCGGGAAAAAAUAAAUAAAUCUCCUAGGGAAAAUCAUCAAUGUUGGAUCUGAUCGCUGGAGCUCCAGAUGGCUCCGCGUGGCUUCCUCUCUUCCUCCGAAAACGAAGGCUGCAAUUACGGAACAAAACCCGACGUGAUUCAUCUACUUUCUAUUUCCAGCUGCCGCUUGCGCUUUCACACCUUCAACAACCACCACUCAACUUUCUCCUCUAACUGAACAUCAGACUUCGGGGGCUCUCAGAAACUGCCUGGGAAAAAAACACAAGUUUCCUCUCACAGAAGAUGAGAAAUUAGACCAAAAUGUGUGUUUUGUUUAAUAAAGGAGGAGCAGCCACCCUGAGACUUGUCCCUCCUGUGCUGUGUGCUGUAGUAACGGCAGUGUUAGCUAAUAAUAACUGAUGCUUCACAGCAAACGAGCGAUGCUAAUGUGGAGGAGGCUGAUUGUAGUCGCCCGGUCACGGCUGUGAGGAAUGUCUCUGGAAGGGAAAAUGAACUUUAUUCUUAAAUUACAGGCCCCUCUGUGGCGGACGCGCCUGUCCUAUUAUGUGCUAAUUAGAAGACGCUUGGGACGUUUUAGCUAACGAGCCUGGGAUAAUUUUAACCCUCCGCAUGGCUGCAGAGAGACAUGCAGCAUGUACAACCACAUACAGUCGGAAUAUGAACAUAUGGCUCAGCUUACACAAAACAGAUGCACACACACACACACACACACACACACACACACACACACACACUUCUUCAUACAUUCGCAGGCUCCCAGCAUGCACCAGCUUAGCUGCCGCUGUGCUAAUUGGCUUGAUGUGGUUCUGAAAAUAGUGUCUGUACAAUCCCCUGUCUGCCUUCAGAAAAGAUCAUGCCCUUUUAAUUCAGAGUCCCAGCAGGCCGUCAAUAGGAAAUGGCUCUGAAUGA
Acanthopagrus latus (yellowfin seabream) is the source of this 1201-nucleotide long non-coding RNA. RefSeq lists it as uncharacterized. The record is from RefSeq and is a predicted model, not a curated record. Lineage: Eukaryota; Metazoa; Chordata; Actinopteri; Spariformes; Sparidae. The transcript is spliced from 3 exons.